ACCCGCUGAACUUAAGCAUAUCAAUAAGCGGAGGAAAAGAAACCAACAGGGAUUGCCCUAGUAACGGCGAGUGAAGCGGCAACAGCUCAAAUUUGAAAUCUGGCGUCUUCGGCGUCCGAGUUGUAAUUUGCAGAGGGUGCUUUGGCAUCGGCAGCGGUCCAAGUUCCUUGGAACAGGACGUCACAGAGGGUGAGAAUCCCGUACGUGGUCGCUAGCCUUUACCGUGUAAAGCCCCUUCGACGAGUCGAGUUGUUUGGGAAUGCAGCUCUAAAUGGGAGGUAAAUUUCUUCUAAAGCUAAAUACUGGCCAGAGACCGAUAGCGCACAAGUAGAGUGAUCGAAAGAUGAAAAGCACUUUGGAAAGAGAGUUAAAAAGCACGUGAAAUUGUUGAAAGGGAAGCGCUUGCAGCCAGACUUGCCUGUAGUUGCUCAUCCGGGUUUCUACCCGGUGCACUCUUCUAUAGGCAGGCCAGCAUCAGUUUGGGCGGUUGGAUAAAGGUCUCUGUCAUGUACCUCUCUUCGGGGAGAACUUAUAGGGGAGACGACAUGCAACCAGCCUGGACUGAGGUCCGCGCAUCUGCUAGGAUGCUGGCGUAAUGGCUGU
Molecule: ribosomal RNA, 603 nt
Filed under: uncultured fungus
Lineage: Eukaryota; Fungi
Description: eukaryotic LSU rRNA
Rfam family: Eukaryotic large subunit ribosomal RNA
Source: RNAcentral